This 576-nucleotide ribosomal RNA is filed under the name Brachybacterium sp. Its description in RNAcentral is "bacterial SSU rRNA". It matches the Rfam family "Bacterial small subunit ribosomal RNA", at positions 383 to 969 of the family's 1533-position model. The record is from RNAcentral. Lineage: Bacteria; Bacillati; Actinomycetota; Actinomycetes; Micrococcales; Dermabacteraceae.
CUGAUGCAGCGACGCCGCGUGGGGGAUGACGGCCUUCGGGUUGUAAACCCCUUUCAGUAGGGAAGAAGCGAGAGUGACGGUACCUGCAGAAGAAGCGCCGGCUAACUACGUGCCAGCAGCCGCGGUAAUACGUAGGGCGCAAGCGUUGUCCGGAAUUAUUGGGCGUAAAGAGCUUGUAGGUGGCUUGUCGCGUCUGCCGUGAAAACCCGAGGCUCAACCUCGGGCGUGCGGUGGGUACGGGCAGGCUAGAGUGUGGUAGGGGAGACUGGAACUCCUGGUGUAGCGGUGAAAUGCGCAGAUAUCAGGAAGAACACCGAUGGCGAAGGCAGGUCUCUGGGCCAUUACUGACACUGAGAAGCGAAAGCAUGGGUAGCGAACAGGAUUAGAUACCCUGGUAGUCCAUGCCGUAAACGUUGGGCACUAGGUGUGGGGGACAUUCCACGUUUUCCGCGCCGUAGCUAACGCAUUAAGUGCCCCGCCUGGGGAGUACGGCCGCAAGGCUAAAACUCAAAGGAAUUGACGGGGGCCCGCACAAGCGGCGGAGCAUGCUGAUUAAUUCGAUGCAACGCGAAGAAC